AAGAAAGUUAAAAUAGUAAUUUUAUUUUAUUUAUUUUUUUUAAAUUAUAAACCCACCAUUGCUAAUUGAGAGGAUGGUUUAUAAAACAAAAUUGAAAUUGAAAGAUUUAUCUAUAAUAAAUUAAAAUGCGGAGAUGAAUAUUAAACACGACAAUAAUUGCAAAUUACACAAAAAGAGAAUUAUCUCCAGGCUGACACCUUUCACUUUCGGUGGGAUAUCAUUACAUUGCCGCAGACUUCUAAAACGCUUUGUCACCAGAGCAAUUUUGGAGUAUCCUCCAAACACCAGCAGACUGAAAAACAACCGCAGUUCCAUGUUCCAGCAAUGGGUAUUAUCGUCAAUUGACUCGGAAAAUACAAAAUACAAACUUUCAGAACCGGAAAAAUAAUCCGUACAAUUGUCAGACAAGGUUUUUCUUAUCAGCAAUCACCGACAAAAUUGCAAAAAUAUAGGUAGAACAAGUUAAAUCACCCGGAGAAAGACUCAUAACCAACAAUAAACUAUAGAUGAAUAACACAACCAAAUGAUCUGUAUUUGAUCUGAUUACAAAAAUAUUAACAAACUUGAACCGAUAACAAUCACACUAGCUGCAGAAUACAACAAAUAUAAACUGCAAAAUGGAAGACAACAGAAAACCCAAAUAAGCUACCUAUACAGCCAAACCACCACUGACCACUCAAAAGAAAAACCUGACAAAAGGUUAGCCCAAAGUCAAUUUCUUCCUUUUUUCUAUCUUCUUUUUUUUUUUU
RNAcentral lists this unclassified non-coding RNA (749 nucleotides) under Hevea brasiliensis (rubber tree). The record is from RNAcentral. Lineage: Eukaryota; Viridiplantae; Streptophyta; Magnoliopsida; Malpighiales; Euphorbiaceae.